GACAGAGGGUGCAAACGUUGUUCGGAAUUACUGGGCGUAAAGGGUGCGUAGGUGGUGAUGCAAGUCUGGUGUGAAAUCUCGGAGCUCAACUCCGAAAUUGCACCGGAUACUGCGUGACUCGAGGACUGUAGAGGAGAUCGGAAUUCACGGUGUAGCAGUGAAAUGCGUAGAUAUCGUGAGGAAGACCAGUUGCGAAGGCGGAUCUCUGGGCAGUUCCUGACACUGAGGCACGAAGGCCAGGGGAGCAAACGGG
Molecule: ribosomal RNA, 253 nt
Filed under: uncultured bacterium
Lineage: Bacteria
Description: partial 16S ribosomal RNA
Rfam family: Bacterial small subunit ribosomal RNA
Source: RNAcentral